AGGUUGUUUUUCCUGGCCUUGUGCAAGAGGACGAGGAGCUUCUGCGCCUUCUAUAAGGUUAUCAGCCUUUGUGCUACGGUGCCAGGAAGGAGUCUUAACACGUGAUAUCUUCAAGCAUCUGAUGGGGUUUCUGAGCGCCAGAGGCCACAGGAGCAGGGAGAAGAGCCAGUGAUCGCAAUGGCCAAUU
RNAcentral lists this long non-coding RNA (187 nucleotides) under Oryctolagus cuniculus (rabbit). Its description in RNAcentral is "lncRNA (ENSOCUG00000032888.1)". Lineage: Eukaryota; Metazoa; Chordata; Mammalia; Lagomorpha; Leporidae. The record is from RNAcentral.